CUGUCUUUUAAGUUUCUACAAGUUGCACCUACAUAGAUUUCGUGCUCCCCUGUAUCUAAAUUGAUUACUGGGAUCUGGUAAAUGCAGCUUCUAUUUUUUUUAUUUCAACGGUCUUUAUGGUUUCUCAGUACUUUGAAAAUCGUGGCGGCCUCUUGUAUGCUGGUUUCUUGUUUUGUUUGUUUAGGACUGUUUUUAUCGCUUUUGAUCUUCCUAAUGCCUCUAGAACUGGUUCAUACGUCUUCACUUGUUGCAUGUUGUUAUCUGCUGUUACCUGUUGCACUGUUGUUUGGGUUUCUUCUUGUGUUGGGAUGGUUUUUUAG
Molecule: long non-coding RNA, 320 nt
Filed under: Androctonus crassicauda
Lineage: Eukaryota; Metazoa; Arthropoda; Arachnida; Scorpiones; Buthidae
Source: RNAcentral